GGAGAAAGUUAAAAAGUAUUACAUGCAGGAGAAAAAAACUGGGUGUAUUUUUAAAGUCCAUGCCGGGAUGUUUAUUUAUAGAAACUGGGUUAUGACCGAAAACACUGGCUCACGGGAGGACGUAAAAAAUAACAAGUGUCUCUCCCCAGAUUACUGUGAUCGGUUUGGAUGAAAAUCUGUGAUUCCCGCUGCUCUCACAUUCCUGUCAUUCCUAAAAUGGUUGAAUGUUGGAGGCUACAGUGGUAGAAUUAACUAAGUCCUGUACUUAAAGCCAGAAUGAGUAGGAUUUUCCUAAAAAAACAAUGUUUAGACUCAUACAAAAAUAAUCCCUCUCAAUCAUCACUGAUGGCGUGUGUGGAGGCGUCUGUAUCUGCAGAGACGCUGCCUGUUUUUUUUUGUAGUUUCUUCUUGUUUUGCUGUGUUCGGGACGUUUCUGGGCGUCAGCCUUUGGGCAGUGGUGUGUAGCCUCCAGCCGAUAACAGCGAGCAGGCUGUGAGGUCGGGACUCUGUAAAAACAUAGCGACCAGGUUAGAUCGCUGCCUCUCUGCUCUCUGUCUGUGUCAUGGGCCCUGUUUACACCUGGCAUUACCAUGCGUCUUGGGUGAUCCGAUCAAGUACAGAGUGGAGCUCUUUGACCAGUGAGGACACAGUGUUGGUGAUGGAGUCGGCUGCUACCAGAAGGUCAUUCCUCAGGUUCCUUCUCGGGCCUGAGAUGGAGAGAUUUCCAGACUUACCUUGGGCGAAUGCCUCCUGUACGUCACCACCCACCCCAGCGAGUGAAUCUUGAGGAGGGUACAUGUGACCCUGGGGAGAUGCAGCACCCAUAGAGCGGACGGUUGAUGGGCUCGGUCGAGAAGGAGA
Long non-coding RNA from Siniperca chuatsi (mandarin fish), 861 nucleotides. RefSeq lists it as uncharacterized. Lineage: Eukaryota; Metazoa; Chordata; Actinopteri; Centrarchiformes; Sinipercidae. The transcript is spliced from 3 exons. The record is from RefSeq and is a predicted model, not a curated record.